AAGUGCGCUCGCUCGCCGGGCUGAGUGCCUCCUGCGUAGUCGCCGACACCAGUGGCGGGGGGCUUCGCCGCCGAACGCCCGCGCCGAACUAAGCAGAGGUUCUGAGGAACGAAACGUGCCGCGGGUGUAGCCUUUAGAGCUCUCAGGGAUCUCGCAUCGAUGGGGCUGGGAAACAGCAAGAAAGCUGAUGAAAACCGCUCGGGCUUCCACCCCGAUGACAGUACUGAACUGUCGCAAAAUUUCGAUGAGUGCGACAUUCACGAUUGUCUGGCCAGAAGAAAAUGAGAAGGACUAUGACACACUUCAAGACGUCGCGGUAAGUUAACACUGUCUCUUGGUCGGAAACUCAAGAUGUUU
Molecule: long non-coding RNA, 357 nt
Organism: Schistocerca americana (American grasshopper)
Lineage: Eukaryota; Metazoa; Arthropoda; Insecta; Orthoptera; Acrididae
Exons: 3
Source: RefSeq, a predicted model, not a curated record